Molecule: non-coding RNA, 99 nt
Organism: Kutzneria sp. 744
Lineage: Bacteria; Bacillati; Actinomycetota; Actinomycetes; Pseudonocardiales; Pseudonocardiaceae
Source: Rfam
GAGAGCCGGAUGCUCAGGAAUGGGCACGUCCGGUUCGGCGGGCGGGCCGGGGAAACGUAACGUUCGUAAGGACGUCAACGCGCCCCGGUCCGACCCAAC